Rattus norvegicus (Norway rat) is the source of this 934-nucleotide non-coding RNA. NCBI's taxonomy places the organism in Eukaryota, Metazoa, Chordata, Mammalia, Rodentia, Muridae. The record is from RefSeq and is a predicted model, not a curated record.
CAGGGAUAGAAUGUUCUUAGGAUUCCUAUCAGGAGAUCUUCAGGGCAGCCUUUGACCUUGGCAACCAGACAACGGCAAAUGCUGAAAUGACCGAGCCUGUAGUAGGCUUGUGGCAAAACACGAAAUAAGAUCUACCAACCUCCAACCCUCUCCCACCUUCCCAGACAUAAUCAGUGGCACCAAGAAGAGGGACGAAAAUCUUUGAAACCAGGAGCCACGAUAAAAUUUGAUUCAGCAAGAAAAACAACGCAUGUUCCCAGAAAUGUAGCAUAUGCUGAGUUUUUUUUAUAAUGCCAACGUGUGAUUGCUACAGGUUUCCACAGAACACUGGGGAAGUCAACCAAGGCAAAGUGAGUUUCCUCCUUAGACCUCCUGUCUUACUGGAAUUGCUUUGGUAUGGAAAGAGGCAACAGGCAUGCUAUGCGGCCAGGUCUUUGAGGAAACCUUCUUGAUUAAGCAAACAUUUGAGAAGGAGAGGUAAAGAAAGGCCUGGGAAGGGAAUGUAGGGACGAUGCAUUAGUGUUCCUGCUUGAACUGAAACAUCGUGGGACUCAGAACCAGGAACCACACAGCUCUGAGGUGGACGAUGUCCCAGUAGAAAGGGUAAAAGUAGGAGCGCUCAGGUGUUUCCUCACCAGCCGGGGAUGAUUUGGAGCUUGGAGAGAGUCUGCCUCAGCCUCGGGAAUGCUGAGAUUAUUAACACGUGCCAUAUGCCCAGCCAAGACCUAUUUCUCAGGACUACUGUAGGAAUUGAUUCUAAACAGCAAGGAAAGAGGAAGAUGGUUGGCCUUGAAAAGGAGACCCUUGGAACUGUGUUUCGAUACUCUUAAGAGUGUGUGUUCGUGAGAUGCAAGAAUUCACGCAAAGCAGCCUCCAAACACUGACUGGAUCUCACUAAAAAAAUAAAAUUUCUGCAUCCUCUUUUCUCCUAAAA